GACAGAGGGUGCGAACGUUGUUCGGAAUUACUGGGCGUAAAGCGCGUGUAGGCGGCAGCGCAAGUCGGGCGUGAAAUCCCACGGCUCAACCGUGGAAGUGCACUCGAAACUGCGCAGCUAGAGUCCUGGAGAGGAAGGUGGAAUGCUUGGUGUAGAGGUGAAAUUCGUAGAUAUCAAGCGGAACACCGGUGGCGAAGGCGGCUUUCUGGACAGUAACUGACGCUGAGGCGCGAAAGCUAGGGGAGCAAACAGG
This 253-nucleotide ribosomal RNA is filed under the name uncultured bacterium. RNAcentral's name for it is "partial 16S ribosomal RNA". It matches the Rfam family "Bacterial small subunit ribosomal RNA", at positions 524 to 776 of the family's 1533-position model. The record is from RNAcentral.